Schistocerca americana (American grasshopper) is the source of this 1008-nucleotide RNA transcript. RefSeq lists it as uncharacterized. The transcript has 5 exons. NCBI's taxonomy places the organism in Eukaryota, Metazoa, Arthropoda, Insecta, Orthoptera, Acrididae. The record is from RefSeq and is a predicted model, not a curated record.
CUAUUAUGGCUUGUGACACUUGAAAUGUGAGUGAAGCUAAAGGUGCAGGUCAGGCCAAAGUGUCAAAGUCUUAUCUGCACAUGUGCACUGCUGAUUGUGUACUUGCAGGACAAUAUCUGUUUCUUCUGUAACUACAUCCAUGGAGUGGUUACAGAUGUCACCCUUCCACAUAAGCUUACUGUUACUGGCUGGUUACCUGGUCACAGCCACCAACGCAGGUGCUGGAGAUAAUCAAACAGCAUCCACUCCAGAACAGGAAGUUCCUUGGGUGGCAUGUGCUACGCUGGAGUGUGACAAGCCAUGUCCCACACUUCCACCCAGCUGUCCCUCUGGCAUCAUCAAGAAGUGUGGCUGCUGUAACGUUUGCUGGAAAUACCUGAAUGAAGGACAGCUGUGUCGCAAGUUCCUUCAAGGAAACACACUGUGUGGUCCUGGUCUUGUCUGCAGCAGUAGUGGCAUAUGUGAACAUCUGCCUAAUGUUUCCAGCAGUGAGGAGGAGAGCCCUGAGUGAAUGACUUCACUGAAAUUUAGAAGAUGUUCCUGAGACAUGUGUGCCUAGUUCUGUCAGUUGCCUGCCUUGCUCUGGCCGAUGACAGGUUUGGCCAUCAUCAUCCACGUGGUGGCAUUGUGCAGUGCCUGCCAAAUAUGUGUGAUGAGCCCUGUCCCACUUUACCAUCCUACUGUCCCUCAGGAGUCAUCAAGAACUGUGGCUGUUGUGAUGUAUGCUGGAUAUACUUGAAGGAGGGAGAAAUCUGCCGCAAAUUCAUUCCUGAAAACACAAUGUGUAGUCCAGGCUUGGAGUGUGGUUCUCGAGGUGUGUGUGUGCCGAUGGCUGAACAAAAUGUGGAAGAUGCUGAAGAUAGCUCAGACUGCACAGACAGCUCUGAGUAAGACUGUACACACAAGAAAAGUGAUGUUGUACUUGCACUCAACUCCUAUAAGAUUUAAUGCAUUUGAGAAAGACGAAACUCAUUGUAAUCCUGGAAAUAAACAAUUAGAAGUACUGCA